Molecule: non-coding RNA, 500 nt
Organism: Plutella xylostella (diamondback moth)
Lineage: Eukaryota; Metazoa; Arthropoda; Insecta; Lepidoptera; Plutellidae
Source: RefSeq, a predicted model, not a curated record
CACACGCGGAUGUUGAUGGUUCUAUCUUUGAUAACGCGUUGGCUUCAUUCUUUUUGAAGAUCAAGGACUAUUUUUUGCUGAUCCAUCGGGUGCCAGGUGAGGCGUGGUCUGUCCUAUAUAAGCCCCUUCAAUCAUUAGAAGGGUAUCACUUGUCCCAAGCCGAGCAAGACAACCAAUCAAAAUGUUCUUCAGAGUAUUCGCCCUCCUGGCUCUGGUGGCCGUCGCCUUCGCCAGCCCCAAGCCCGACCCUCAGGUGCUAGCGUACUCCGCUGGCGCCCCCAUCCUGCCUGUCGGCUACUCUCCCUACUCGAGCGUCUACUCUCCCUACGUGGCCGCCCCCGCCGCCGCCGCCUACCCCUACGCUUACUCUGGUUACUACCUCCGUUGAGACACCCUGUAUAACGACCAGCCAUGCGGUAACCUGACCAUGUGGGAACCCGAUACCUUAACGACGACCACUUGCCAAAUGAUUUUUUGUUCAAUAUAGUUUUUCAUGCAUA